UUGCUACCCGCUGACGAGCGGCGGACGGGUGAGUAAUGCAUAGGAAUCUGCCCGAUAGUGGGGGAUAACCUGGGGAAACCCAGGCUAAUACCGCAUACGUCCUACGGGAGAAAGGGGGCUCCGGCUCCCGCUAUUGGAUGAGCCUAUGUCGGAUUAGCUAGUUGGUGAGGUAAAGGCUCACCAAGGCGACGAUCCGUAGCUGGUCUGAGAGGAUGAUCAGCCACAUCGGGACUGAGACACGGCCCGAACUCCUACGGGAGGCAGCAGUGGGGAAUAUUGGACAAUGGGCGAAAGCCUGAUCCAGCCAUGCCGCGUGUGUGAAGAAGGCCCUCGGGUUGUAAAGCACUUUCAGCGAGGAAGAACGCCUAGUGGUUAAUACCCAUUAGGAAAGACAUCACUCGCAGAAGAAGCACCGGCUAACUCCGUGCCAGCAG
Molecule: ribosomal RNA, 434 nt
Filed under: marine sediment bacterium BB0608_AND_4.2_2G0
Lineage: Bacteria
Description: bacterial SSU rRNA
Rfam family: Bacterial small subunit ribosomal RNA
Source: RNAcentral